CGAAGAGACGCAGAGAAAUCAGGUUCCCGUGAGACGGGAAGUACAUAUCAUUAUGACCUCUUGAUAAUCUC
Caenorhabditis elegans is the source of this 71-nucleotide non-coding RNA. The record is from Ensembl. NCBI's taxonomy places the organism in Eukaryota, Metazoa, Nematoda, Chromadorea, Rhabditida, Rhabditidae.